Molecule: ribosomal RNA, 497 nt
Filed under: uncultured bacterium
Lineage: Bacteria
Description: partial 16S ribosomal RNA
Rfam family: Bacterial small subunit ribosomal RNA
Source: RNAcentral
GAUGAACGCUGGCGGCGUGCCUAAUACAUGCAAGUCGGGCGAACGGACGAGAAGCUUGCUUCUCUGAUGUUAGCGGCGGACGGGUGAGUAACACGUGGAUAACCUACCUAUAAGACUGGGAUAACUUCGGGAAACCGGAGCUAAUACCGGAUAAUAUUUUGAACCGCAUGGUUCAAAAGUGAAAGACGGUCUUGCUGUCACUUAUAGGUGGAUCCGCGCUGCAUUAGCUAGUUGGUAAGGUAACGGCUUACCAAGGCAACGAUGCAUAGCCGACCUGAGAGGGUGAUCGGCCACACUGGAACUGAGACACGGUCCAGACUCCUACGGGAGGCAGCAGUAGGGAAUCUUCCGCAAUGGGCGAAAGCCUGACGGAGCAACGCCGCGUGAGUGAUGAAGGUCUUCGGAUCGUAAAACUCUGUUAUUAGGGAAGAACAUAUGUGUAAGUAACUGUGCACAUCUUGACGGUACCUAAUCAGAAAGCCACGGCUAACUACGUG